Long non-coding RNA from Podarcis raffonei (Aeolian wall lizard), 1662 nucleotides. RefSeq lists it as uncharacterized. Lineage: Eukaryota; Metazoa; Chordata; Lepidosauria; Squamata; Lacertidae. The record is from RefSeq and is a predicted model, not a curated record. The transcript is spliced from 4 exons.
AAGUGGAGAAAGUGGUGAAUCAAGGGUUCCCUACGCAGUCCCUGGACUUGGGAAUGAGCUAUGAAGAUCAAUACAGCUUCCACUAGGUGCCGCAGCAACUGAGCCAAAAAAAAGUCACACCCUCUCUAGGGACAGCCAUGGAGGAGUAGGAGGAAGAAGAAGAGUUUUGGAGGUUUUUUAGCUUUUUUAGCUAAGCAAUGAAGGGGUCCAAUAACCAGAGCUCUGCGGCCCAAUAGAAACAGUUUUACGUUCAAAAACAUUCCUAAAGGUUUUGAAGAACAAUGUUUUCAUAGCAUGAAUUUUAAACUGUUUUAUUAUUGACCAGAACAGACAAGCAAUUUUACAGUUCUACUGCUUAACUGCUGCUUUUCUGCAAGUAUACCCACAGGGCAUUCAGUACAUUAAUGAAGCCGGCACUAGAUAAGACCACCAAUUAAAGUGAAAUCAUUUGCUUACCACCUCAUGCUUUUUAACCCCUACAAAAGAUGUGUGUCCUCCUGCAGUUUUAAGGAACACACCCAAUUCAAAAGGUAUUUGUUACUUCAGACACGUUAUUCUCAAUAAUUCAGUCUGCAUGCAUGCUGACCCUCAGAUGCAAAUUGAGAUUCUAUUUCUCUUGAAUUGUAAACUGCUCCAAGUUCUCUUUAACUUGAAGAGACACUUCUUUAAAAAAUAUAUGAGUUGAUGUACUUAAAAAGAAGUUGAAAGGAAGAUUCAAGCGGAUUAACUUCAUUGAAGGGGCUUGCAGGCGUAUUAAAACUGCAAGAACCAAAGUUCAGAUAAAAGGUACACCACAGGUUGCACGAAAGGCAUGAUGUCCAAGAAGAUGUCAGUAUAGUUAACAAGUAGAGUCUGUCAAGGAUGCUAUAAAAGAAAGUCUUCAUUUGAAGGAAUGAUAAUGUAGGGCAAAGCCAGGACUGGGUGCACAAAUUUUGGCAAAAUACAUACAAGUUGACAGGCAAGUGGGGAAAGGGAAUCUCAGGAGCAUAUUGUUUAAAAACAUUAAGAAAGAAAACAACUCAUUUAAAUGUAUCAGAAUCAGGAAAUUAGCCAGGGAGUUGUUUGGAUCUUAGAGGGCAAGGGGGGUAGGGAUAGGUUGAGAGGUAAUACAGAAAAACUGAACAAAGUAUUUGCAUCUUCACUGCAGAAGUGGAAAGGUGGAUACUAUAUAUGGACAGGUUUCUUUUCCUGAGGAGUGAGUGAAUCUGAAGGACGGAGUCAAAGGUGCCAAGAGAAGCUGAAGGAGUUACCGACGAGUUAAUGAUUAGCAAAUCUCCGUGUCUGCAUAUCAUACAGGAAGAGAUCCAGGAAAUAACUGAAUAGUUAUUUUGAUGUCUGUUCCAGGUAAAUCUAGUUGUAGGCAGAUCUUUGAAGGAGAAAACCUGGAAAAAUUGCUAUGGCUGUAUGGGACAAGCCACAGCUGCAAGAAUGUUAUGUGCCCAAAAAUGGAAGGAAGAAGAGGUAUUGACAAGAGAAUAAUGGAGACAAAAGUUAAUGGACUAUGGAGAAAUGGCAAAACCUACAGGGAGAAUAAGAAAUCAAGAUAACCAUUUUUUUUUUGAAAGGAAUGGAAAUGGUUUAUUGAGUAUUUACAAACGAACUGUAAACAGAUUAACACAUUGGCAGAAUUAAUGUAAAAACCUGCAGUUUCAAAAUAUAUAU